AAUAGAUACCCAGGUAGUCCACGCCGUAAACGUUGGCUACUAGGUGUGGCGGUUAUACCAAUGACUGCCGUGCCGAAGCUAACGCAUUAAGUAUCCCGCCUGGGGAGUACGGCCGCAAGGCUAAAACUCAAAGGAAUUGACGGGUCCCCGCACAAGCGGCGGAGCAUGCGGCUUAAUUCGAUGCAACCCGAAGAACCUUACCUGGGUUUGGCAUCACGGGAAAAGCUGUAGAAAUACAGUGUCCAUUAGGGCCCGUGACAGGUGGUGCAUGGCUGUCGUCAGCUCGUGUCGUGAGAUGUUGGGUUAAGUCCCGCAACGAGCGCAACCCUUGUCCUAUGUUGCCAGCGGUUCGGCCGGGGACUCAUAGGAGACUGCCGGGGAUAACUCGGAGGGAGGUGAGGACGACGUCAAGUCAUCAUGCCCCUUAUAUCCAGGGCUGCACGCAUGCUACAAUGGCCGGUACAACGGGCAGCGACCCCGCGAGGGUGAGCGAAUCCUAAAAAGCCGGUCCUAGUUCGGAUUGAAGUCUGCAACUCGA
RNAcentral lists this ribosomal RNA (538 nucleotides) under uncultured bacterium. RNAcentral describes it as "bacterial SSU rRNA". It matches the Rfam family "Bacterial small subunit ribosomal RNA", at positions 777 to 1315 of the family's 1533-position model. The record is from RNAcentral.